UGGCCCAGAUCGUUUACCGUGAAAAAAUUAGAGUGUUCAAAGCAGGCAGAUCCAAUUUUCUGCCACCGAAUACAUUAGCAUGGGAUAAUGGAAUAGGACCCUGUCCUCCUAUUUUCAGUUGGUUUUGGCAGCGCGAGGACUAGGGUAAUGAUUAAUAGGGAUAGUUGGGGGCAUUAAUAUUUAAUUGUCAGAGGUGAAAUUCUUGGAUUUAUGAAAGAUUAACUUCUGCGAAAGCAUCUGCCAAGGAUGUUUUCAUUAAUCAAGAACGAAAGUUAGGGGAUCGAAGACGAUCAGAUACCGUCGUAGUCUUAACCAUAAACGAUGCCGACCAGCGAUUAGGAGACGUUGAAUACAAAACACCACCAUCGGUUGCGGUCGUCCUUGGCGUCUCGGUUUCGGCCGGGGCGCGGGGAUGGCUUAGCCCGGUGGCACCGGUGAAUGACUCCCCUAGCAGCUUGUGAGAA
RNAcentral lists this ribosomal RNA (464 nucleotides) under Acanthamoeba genotype T4. Its description in RNAcentral is "SSU rRNA". It matches the Rfam family "Eukaryotic small subunit ribosomal RNA", at positions 739 to 1096 of the family's 1831-position model. The record is from RNAcentral. Lineage: Eukaryota; Discosea; Longamoebia; Acanthamoebidae.